RNAcentral lists this ribosomal RNA (253 nucleotides) under uncultured bacterium. RNAcentral describes it as "partial 16S ribosomal RNA". It matches the Rfam family "Bacterial small subunit ribosomal RNA", at positions 524 to 776 of the family's 1533-position model. The record is from RNAcentral.
UACGUAGGUGGCAAGCGUUGUCCGGAAUUAUUGGGCGUAAAGCGCGCGCAGGCGGUCCUUUAAGUCUGAUGUGAAAGCCCACGGCUCAACCGUGGAGGGUCAUUGGAAACUGGGGGACUUGAGUACAGAAGAGAAGAGUGGAAUUCCACGUGUAGCGGUGAAAUGCGUAGAGAUGUGGAGGAACACCAGUGGCGAAGGCGGCUCACUGGCCCGUAAUUGACGCUGAGGUGCGAAAGCGUGGGGAGCAAACAGG